AUAAAACACUAAUGAGGGACUGUAGCUGGCUGGCCAGUGGCUUCCACGCUGCCAAGGCUGCCCUGAUGCUUACGGUGCUGCUGUGCUGGAAGGAGGAAGAGCAGGGAGGUGACCUGGUCUCUCCAAAUUGCAUGGGAGGCUUAGAUGCACAGCAGAUUGCUGUCUUCCGCACAUCUGGGCUCAAGAACCUCACACUAAUGAAUUACACAGCUCAUUUAAUUCCUAACAGAGUGGUACUGGAGAUGGGAUACUCUCUACUAAUGAGCAAUGACCCUUCCUCUAAGAUGUCAUCAAGCCAGCUAGGUUUCACCUGGUGGUGGGAAGGACGUUUCUUAAACCACAACAUUCUGGUAAUGUUUUUUCCACAGACUUCUCUGAUGCACAGGUAUAAAUUUAAUAUCUGAGUAGUAGUACAGCACUAUGAUGAUGAAUCUGCCUGGAAAUCUUGUAAGUGGUAUAAGAACAAGCCUACUGCACUUUUUAUCUUUUGCCAUACAUAGUAUUUAAUGGGUUUCAUAGUUCCUUCUGUGGUGUUAAUUAGUAAAUCACUCCAACUCUUGCUGAAGCUAAAGCUCUUGCUGUUGGCUGGGAGGUUGGAGGGGGAACAGCAGCUUGAGGCCAAGAUUUUAACACCACUCUCGGUGUAAACCUUCCUUCUGAAAGUUUCCAAGAGUGCUCGUAUCUCCUCAGACACCAAAAACAAUUGGGUAGGACAGAAAACUUCUGUCUGGUAGGACAGAAAUCCUUAGCAGUACCAACAGGAACAAUGGAAUGUUUCAGCUGCCCAGGUUCAACUUCUUGAUCUUGCAGCUGGGUGCCAGGGUUCACCUCUGAGAUAAUCAUGGUUAACAGCUCUGCAUAAUGCUAGGGUUCAUCUCACUAUGCCAGCUUUACAGUGGUAAGAAGUGAUGGGAUAACAAAGAAGUGCAGAGAGAAUAUUAACCUAGCAAGAUGGUGAAAAAAAUGUGUUUGAAAUGUCUUUGAGAGUGUUUAUUGAUUUGCAUCAUCUUAGUGCAUUUGUCAUUUGUUGCUGAAAGUCUAUUGCUGAUACUGUGUCUGGAACAACUGGAGCUCUUCAGAGGUGAAGGCGAAAGCGGUAUUCUAGGAAAACAUGGCAGGAGUUAUAAGCUUUCUUUCAGUUUAUGGUAUCAGUAGAUUUCAACAAAGAAAUGGUUGUUGAGUAUAUUUUUAUAGUGCCUGAAGUCUCUAUGUGUUAAUGUCGUUGUUCAUUGAAAGGUACACUCUGGCCUCUUAGAAGAUGUCCUUGUUUCAUUGUAAUGUUCCUUAUAUUUUUGAGAUAGAUAUGUGCAUUAUAGGAGAUCAGUAUAAAAUCUAUGUGUGUGUGGGGAAAUGGAUGCACAAAGAAAUCACCCAAAUCCAUGGAUCCUAGACAUACAGAUCCACUUUGUUCAUGAGGCAUUAAAAUAGCUUUCUGGAGGUGAUGCAAGUGAAACCACUCCCCAACAGAAUGAGCUCACAGAGGCAGUCAGUGAAAAACAGGAACACACGGCUGGGACAAGGAAAGCUUUCCCUAACUCCUCAGACCUGAUCUUCCAGAAGGACCUACAAUUUAACUUCAAAGAUAAGCCUGGGAACUGAAAGUCAUAACUUCUCAGAGUAUUAAAAACCAAGGACUGAGUAUUUACUCAAUAAACAUUUUAUAAGCAUUAACUGUUUCUAUACUUACCCUCACAUCUCACCAACUGUUAAGCCAUACUUGUUCCACAGAAGCAAACCACCUGUAUCUGACCUGUAGACCCAUUAUUGUCUCUCCCCUCUUUGUUAAUGAUCUCCUUCCUCAGAAUGUAAUAUUAUGUUAUAUUCAGAGCAAUCACUUCCAGCUUGAUGUUUGUUGUGUCUAGAUAAAAUGUACAACAACAAUAGUAUUUCACUCCCAAAUGACUGUUUACUCCACGUAUAAUGGAUGGUAUCUAUCUCUGAAAAUCUUGUCAUCUUAGACAUCUAAGAUGGUAUCUCAGACAGCCACAGUUACAGAAGAACAUCUGACUCAGUAAAGCAUCAGGAAAAUACAGGAACACGCAACUUGCUUCACUAAAAUACUGAACUGAAUUCAUGCAUAUUGACAUUUCAGAGUUAAUGCCUAAACUGCAUAAGGAACUGU
This is a long non-coding RNA of Cuculus canorus (common cuckoo), 2122 nucleotides long. RefSeq lists it as uncharacterized. The transcript has 3 exons. The record is from RefSeq and is a predicted model, not a curated record. NCBI's taxonomy places the organism in Eukaryota, Metazoa, Chordata, Aves, Cuculiformes, Cuculidae.